GCACCCAUAGCUCAAUUGGAUAGAGCAUCUGGCUUCGGACCAGAGGGUUAGGGGUUCGAGUCCUCUUGGGUGCGCCA
Molecule: transfer RNA, 77 nt
Filed under: Tissierellia bacterium
Lineage: Bacteria; Bacillati; Bacillota; Tissierellia
Description: tRNA-Arg
Rfam family: tRNA
About the family: Transfer RNA (tRNA) molecules are approximately 80 nucleotides in length. Their secondary structure includes four short double-helical elements and three loops (D, anti-codon, and T loops).
Source: RNAcentral